UACGUAGGGGGCUAGCGUUGUCCGGAAUCAUUGGGCGUAAAGCGCGUGUAGGCGGUUCGGUAAGUCCGCUGUGAAAGUCGGGGGCUCAACCCUCGAAUGCCGGUGGAUACUGUCGAACUAGAGUGCGGAAGAGGCGAGUGGAAUUCCUGGUGUAGCGGUGAAAUGCGCAGAUAUCAGGAGGAACACCGAUUGCGAAGGCAGCUCGCUGGGACGUAACUGACGCUGAGACGCGAAAGCGUGGGGAGCAAACAGG
Molecule: ribosomal RNA, 253 nt
Filed under: uncultured bacterium
Lineage: Bacteria
Description: partial 16S ribosomal RNA
Rfam family: Bacterial small subunit ribosomal RNA
Source: RNAcentral